GACGAACGCUGGCGGCGUGCCUAACACAUGCAAGUCGAACGAGAUCCAUGGGAGCUUGCUCCCGGAAGAUCUAGUGGCGAACGGGUGAGUAACACGUGAGAAACCUGCCCUGGAGUGGGGAAUAACUCGGGGAAACUCGAGCUAAUACCGCAUACCCUCGGAUGGUCGCAUGGCCGACCGAGGAAAGAUUUAUCGCUCUAGGAGGGUCUCGCGGCCUAUCAGCUAGUUGGUGGGGUAACGGCCUACCAAGGCAACGACGGGUAGCUGGUUUGAGAGAACGAUCAGCCACACUGGGACUGAGACACGGCCCAGACUCCUACGGGAGGCAGCAGUGGGGAAUCUUGCGCAAUGGGCGAAAGCCUGACGCAGCAACGCCGCGUGCGGGAUGACGGCCUUCGUGGUUGUAACCGCUUUCAGCAGGACGAAAAUGACGGU
RNAcentral lists this ribosomal RNA (435 nucleotides) under uncultured bacterium. RNAcentral describes it as "bacterial SSU rRNA". It matches the Rfam family "Bacterial small subunit ribosomal RNA", at positions 28 to 457 of the family's 1533-position model. The record is from RNAcentral.